AUGCAAUUUCGUUAUUUAAUUAAUGGCCAUGAUUUUUAGUACAUUCGCACCAUGCCUUUACUUUUAAUCAAUGGACCGCAUUUUUGACAAUGCUUGUGAUGUCAGAGUAAUCCGGGGAGCAGAAAUGGCUCCUCUGAACACAGCGUGCGCAAACCAACUGAAUGAGCCAGAGGAAGUGGCGGGUGAUGUAGUCCACACCUUUCCGGUAGAUCAGAGUUGUAAAGCACAGACAGAACAAUGAGACAGAUAUUUCACCAGACGUAUAAAUGUGAAGCCCGGUUCCACUUACUACCAAAUAUGGUGAUGAACGGAAGUCCAGUAGCCCGAAAGUCGGAGAAGAUGGAGCGAGAAAGAUUUUGGCCGACAGAGGUCAUUAAGGUAAUUUUCUCAUCAAUGAAACAUUUGAUCUUGAUACCGUUUCCCAAACUAUAAUCUGUAACAAACAGAGUGGACUGCGUUUUAUAGACUUUACCCUUUGCCAAAGUUUUAAAAAAUUGCGUUGUUUAGAAGGAGUGCAAGGGCGAAUUGAGUUAUUGCACAAGCGCACUUCAGAGUAGGCGUUCCUUAACUGAAAUAUGCAAAUAAAUGAUAGAAUGCACCAAUAAUAUCUAACUAGCUUGUGCUUGGCUCUGCCCACCUCUUGCUUGUCCUGCCCACUAUUAAUUUGCUCCCAUUGGAAACGACAGGCUCUGGUCUAUCUUGGGUUUGCUAUAAUAAUCUUUGGUAGUAGCACUUCAACUCGACUGAAAAGGAGAGAAACGAAAGCAGGUUGGAAAUUACUGAGAGGAGGGGGGAAACAGAAGGUGGUGCUGAUCGAAACAAGGGCGAGGAGGGGGACCUCGAAACACACUCACCAAGAGGAAGUCCAGAGUACCGCAGUGUUUUUGGAGGGCCUAUUCGAUUUCCUUGGUCUAUCAACAGUCCCCGCCCCUCUGACCCGGAAUUUAAUAGAAAUCGAUAGGAAUAAGAAAUCGAUCAUAUUAACAUUUUGUGACAGCUACAAUUAAGAAGUAUACGGCUUGUCAUACAAUUUACUUUCCAAACCUUUGGGUACAAAUUUGAACUUGGAUGCCUCAAACUCUGAGCAGUAAGUUAUUAGCAGCAAUCCUCAUAGUUACUGAUUUGUCACCAGGAAUAAGCUUAUUUUUGCCAGUUUAUUUGACAGACCGACACAUUCGUUAAGCAUUGAUUUGAUCCUGACUGCUCAGGGUGAGCUUCAUAUUUCACACCAUGUCCAUUGAUAGUUAGUUGCAGGGUUACGCCUGAUUAAGCAAAUAAAUCAAGUUGAAAGCUGCAUGGUUUUGACAUUAAGGAAGUAAUACGGGACGUACUGAAGAACCCAACCAGUUUUUUUUAAUUUGACAAGG
This 1367-nucleotide long non-coding RNA is filed under the name Oncorhynchus kisutch (coho salmon). Its description in RNAcentral is "lncRNA (ENSOKIG00005006511.1)". Lineage: Eukaryota; Metazoa; Chordata; Actinopteri; Salmoniformes; Salmonidae. The record is from RNAcentral.